RNAcentral lists this ribosomal RNA (443 nucleotides) under uncultured bacterium. Its description in RNAcentral is "partial 16S ribosomal RNA". It matches the Rfam family "Bacterial small subunit ribosomal RNA", at positions 338 to 795 of the family's 1533-position model. The record is from RNAcentral.
CCUACGGGUGGCAGCAGUGGGGAAUAUUGGGCAAUGGGCGCAAGCCUGACCCAGCAACACCGCGUGAAGGAAGAAGGCUUUCGGGUUGUAAACUUCUUUUCUCAGGGACGAAGCAAGUGACGGUACCUGAGGAAUAAGCCACGGCUAACUACGUGCCAGCAGCCGCGGUAAUACGUAGGUGGCAAGCGUUAUCCGGAUUUACUGGGUGUAAAGGGCGUGUAGGCGGGAAAGCAAGUCAGAUGUGAAAACCAUGGGCUCAACCUGUGGCCUGCAUUUGAAACUGUAGUUCUUGAGUGAUGGAGAGGCAGGCGGAAUUCCGUGUGUAGCGGUGAAAUGCGUAGAUAUACGGAGGAGCACCAGUGGCGAAGGCGGCCUGCUGGACAUUAACUGACGCUGAGGCGCGAAAGCGUGGGGAGCAAACAGGAUUAGAUACCCGUGUAGUC